AUUGAACGCUGGCGGCAGGCCUAACACAUGCAAGUCGAACGGUAACAGGAAGAAGCUUGCUUCUUUGCUGACGAGUGGCGGACGGGUGAGUAAUGUCUGGGAAACUGCCUGAUGGAGGGGGAUAACUACUGGAAACGGUAGCUAAUACCGCAUAACGUCGCAAGACCAAAGAGGGGGACCUUCGGGCCUCUUGCCAUCGGAUGUGCCCAGAUGGGAUUAGCUAGUAGGUGGGGUAACGGCACACCUAGGCGACGAUCCCUAGCUGGUCUGAGAGGAUGACCAGCCACACUGGAACUGAGACACGGUCCAGACUCCUACGGGAGGCAGCAGUGGGGAAUAUUGCACAAUGGGCGCAAGCCUGAUGCAGCCAUGCCGCGUGUAUGAAGAAGGCCUUCGGGUUGUAAAGUACUUUCAGCGGGGAGGAAGGGAGUAAAGUUAAUACCUUUACUCAUUGACGUUACCCGCAGAAGAAGCACCGGCUAACUCCGUG
Molecule: ribosomal RNA, 490 nt
Filed under: uncultured bacterium
Lineage: Bacteria
Description: partial 16S ribosomal RNA
Rfam family: Bacterial small subunit ribosomal RNA
Source: RNAcentral